Molecule: ribosomal RNA, 305 nt
Filed under: uncultured bacterium
Lineage: Bacteria
Description: bacterial SSU rRNA
Rfam family: Bacterial small subunit ribosomal RNA
Source: RNAcentral
UUUUCCUACGGGGCGCAGCAGUGAGGAAUAUUGGUCAAUGGACGAAAGUCUGAACCAGCCAUGCCGCGUGCAGGAAGACGGCUCUAUGAGUUGUAAACUGCUUUUGUACAAGGGUAAACCUGAAUACGUGUAUUCAGCUGAAAGUAUCGUACGAAUAAGGAUCGGCUAACUCCGUGCCAGCAGCCGCGGUAAUACGGAGGAUUCAAGCGUUAUCCGGAUUUAUUGGGUUUAAAGGGUGCGUAGGCGGUCGGAUAAGUUAGAGGUGAAAUCCCGAGGCUCAACUUCGGAAUUGCCUCUGAUACUGU